Molecule: ribosomal RNA, 466 nt
Filed under: uncultured bacterium
Lineage: Bacteria
Description: partial 16S ribosomal RNA
Rfam family: Bacterial small subunit ribosomal RNA
Source: RNAcentral
GACGAACGCUGGCGGCGUGCUUAACACAUGCAAGUCGAACGGAAAGGCCCUGCUUGCAGGGUACUCGAGUGGCGAACGGGUGAGUAACACGUGGGUGAUCUGCCCUGCACUUCGGGAUAAGCCUGGGAAACUGGGUCUAAUACCGGAUAGGAGCCAUUUUUAGUGUGAUGGUUGGAAAGUUUUUUUCGGUGUAGGAUGAGCUCGCGGCCUAUCAGCUUGUUGGUGGGGUAAUGGCCUACCAAGGCGGCGACGGGUAGCCGGCCUGGGGGGGUGGACGGCCACGGUGGGACGGAGACACGGCCCAGACCCCAAGGGGGGGAAGAGGGGGGAAAUUGUGAACAAGGGGCGAAGGCCGGAGGCAGCGAGGCCGGGGGGGGGAGGACGGUCUUGGGGUUGAAACCUCUGUUCGCGAGGGAGGAAGCUUUUUGGGACGGUACAUAGAAAAAAAGCCCCGGCUAACUACGUG